RNAcentral lists this signal recognition particle RNA (308 nucleotides) under Phascolarctos cinereus (koala). RNAcentral describes it as "Metazoan signal recognition particle RNA (ENSPCIG00000013424.2)". It matches the Rfam family "Metazoan signal recognition particle RNA". From Rfam's summary of the family: The signal recognition particle (SRP) is a universally conserved ribonucleoprotein. It is involved in the co-translational targeting of proteins to membranes. Lineage: Eukaryota; Metazoa; Chordata; Mammalia; Diprotodontia; Phascolarctidae. The record is from RNAcentral.
GCCAGAGGUGGUAGCAGAAACCUGUAAUCCCUGCUACUGAGGGAGGCUGAGGCUGGUGGAUAGCUUGAGUUCAGGAGUUCUGAGAUAUAGUAGGUCUAAAGCAUAUCAGGUGUCUGCACUAAGCCUAGUACCAAUAUGGUGAGCCUCUAGGAGUGAGGGGUCCCCAGGCUGCCUAGGAAGGGGCAAACUAGCUCAUGUCAGAAAUAAAAAGAGUCAAAGCUUCUUUCUUGAUCAGCAGUGGGGUCAGGCCCGUCAGUAGAGGCUGUACUGUCAGCUUCAGCAAAAUAAAGGAGACAGACUGAGUCUCA